AACGGCCAUACCAUGCUGAAUAUACCGGUUCUCGUUAGAUCACCGAAGUCAAGCAUCAUUGGGCGCGGUCAGUACUUGGGUGGGUAAACCCCCUGGGAACACCGCGUGCCGUU
RNAcentral lists this ribosomal RNA (113 nucleotides) under Caerostris darwini. Lineage: Eukaryota; Metazoa; Arthropoda; Arachnida; Araneae; Araneidae. The record is from RNAcentral.